RNAcentral lists this non-coding RNA (21 nucleotides) under Caenorhabditis elegans. Lineage: Eukaryota; Metazoa; Nematoda; Chromadorea; Rhabditida; Rhabditidae. The record is from RNAcentral.
UUGAAAAAAAUCUGUUUACCA